GACGAACGCUGGCAGCGUGCUUAACACAUGCAAGUCGAGCGGUAAGGCCCUUUCGGGGGUACGACGAGCGGCGAACGGGUGAGUAACACGUGGGUGACCUGCCCUCAGCUCUGGGAUAAGCCUGGGAAACCGGGUCUAAUACUGGAUAUGACUCCAUGACGCAUGUUGUGGGGUGGAAAGCCUUGUGCGGCUGAGGAUGGGCCCGCGGCCUAUCAGCUUGUUGGUGGGGUGAUGGCCUACCAAGGCGACGACGGGUAGCCGGCCUGAGAGGGCGACCGGCCACACUGGGACUGAGACACGGCCCAGACUCCUACGGGAGGCAGCAGUGGGGAAUCUUGCGCAAUGGGCGAAAGCCUGACGCAGCGACGCCGCGUGAGGGAUGACGGCCUCGU
This 392-nucleotide ribosomal RNA is filed under the name uncultured bacterium. RNAcentral describes it as "bacterial SSU rRNA". It matches the Rfam family "Bacterial small subunit ribosomal RNA", at positions 28 to 420 of the family's 1533-position model. The record is from RNAcentral.